GUCUCGCGUCUGGAAUCACCGUCAAGGAGUCAGAUCCAGCCCCGGAGAGGGAGCAGGGUCGAGGUCUCCUUGCAGAAGGCGCCACCGCAGGAAGCACAGGCGCAACGUGCGGUCUCCCUAGCGGAGGCGCUCGCGAUCCUGCAGCCGCCGGUCCGGGAGGUGCUCGGUAGCCCUCCUUGGUGCCUGUCCGGUAGCUGGUCACUCUCGGGGGAAGGUCGUGUGCAGAAGGGCACAUGCGAUCACACAGAGACGGCGUUGCUGCGGCUUUGACCCGAUGGUGCACCCGAAAGAACACAGAGGGUGAAGGGAGAGAUCCAGGAAGUGGUCGCGGAGCAGAACCCCCCUUCACUUCAGUUAAAAAGACAGAGUCUCGGCUCACUGCAACCUCUGCCUCCCGGGUUCAAGCAAUUCUACUGCCUCAGCCUCCCAAGUAGCUGGGAUCCAACACCACGCCUGGCUUAUUUUUUAAUUUUUAGUAGAGAUGGGGUUUCACCAUGUUGGCCAUGCUGGUCUUGAAUCCUGAUCUCAGAUGAUCUGCCCACUUCGGUCUCCCAAACUGCUGCAAUUACAGGGUUUCAAAGCCAGAGGAGAUAAAAG
RNAcentral lists this long non-coding RNA (597 nucleotides) under Homo sapiens (human). RNAcentral describes it as "non-protein coding lnc-RHCE-2:3". Lineage: Eukaryota; Metazoa; Chordata; Mammalia; Primates; Hominidae. The record is from RNAcentral.